AGAGAGAGAGAGAGAAAGGGAGGGAGUUGUAUCAAUCUGGGCAUUUAGUUCUCACCAGCUAGAACUAAGACUAGCUACCAUUUGAAUAAAAAAUAAUACCGAACUCCUCCAAUGAGUGAAUGCUUGCUCCUUGCAUUUGCUCUAGAUUCUCCUCUGCUGAUGGCAUUAAGGGGAAAGAAUAGUUCCUUUAGUUCACCUUUCCAACAUCAUUUCAAGUUACUACCCGUCUUGAUUUCUUCAUAUCAAAGGAUAAACAAUUGUCCCUCAUUGCAUUUUCAUGCGCCUUCAGAGUUCCUUCAGAGUUCAGAUUCCAUCCCUUAUCUCCGGCAGUCUUCUCGUUUAUGAUCAAAUGAAUAUAAAGGAAAAAGAAACAUAAAAUUUAGAAGCAUACCAAUACAACAAGAUCCAGAGGUCUAAUUCUUACAGAGAGAUCUAUCUUCUACAUUAGCCCCUUCUUUGAUUAAAUCCUCUUAAAGAACCAAAGCAAAGAAAAAUUGUGGUCCUUCAUAGAGCAGCUGCUUUGAAUGCCAUUUCCAACAUCACAAGACAAGGACAGAGAAGUUGUUUACACUAUCUAAGACAAAAAUUAUUAACACCUUGCGGGCUUAUAUAACCAGUUCUUCCUGAAUUCAACAUUCCCGCAAAAAAUGAUUCUUGCCGCUUGUCCAACAGCCAGCAUAACAUACAAUACAUCUUCCUGCAGUGCAAAUGCCUAC
This 716-nucleotide unclassified non-coding RNA is filed under the name Hevea brasiliensis (rubber tree). The record is from RNAcentral. Lineage: Eukaryota; Viridiplantae; Streptophyta; Magnoliopsida; Malpighiales; Euphorbiaceae.